CUGCUCAGGAUGAACGCUGGCGGCGUGCCUAAUACAUGCAAGUCGAGCGAACAGACGAGGAGCUUGCUCCUCUGACGUAAGCGGCGGACGGGUGAGUAACACGUGGAUAACCUACCUAUAAGACUGGGAUAACUUCGGGAAACCGGAGCUAAUACCGGAUAAUAUAUUGAACCGCAUGGUUCAAUAGUGAAAGACGGUUUUGCUGUCACUUAUAGAUGGAUCCGCGCCGCAUUAGCUAGUUGGUAAGGUAACGGCUUACCAAGGCAACGAUGCGUAGCCGACCUGAGAGGGUGAUCGGCCACACUGGAACUGAGACACGGUCCAGACUCCUACGGGAGGCAGCAGUAGGGAAUCUUCCGCAAUGGGCGAAAGCCUGACGGAGCAACGCCGCGUGAGUGAUGAAGGUCUUCGGAUCGUAAAACUCUGUUAUUAGGGAAGAACAAAUGUGUAAGUAACUAUGCACGUCUUGACGGUACCUAAUCAGAAAGCCACGGCUAACUACGUGCCAGCAGCCGCGGUAAUACGUAGGUGGCAAGCGUUAUCCGGAAUUAUUGGGCGUAAAGCGCGCGUAGGCGGUUUUUUAAGUCUGAUGUGAAAGCCCACGGCUCAACCGUGGAGGGUCAUUGGAAACUGGAAAACUUGAGUGCAGAAGAGGAAAGUGGAAUUCCAUGUGUAGCGGUGAAAUGCGCAGAGAUAUGGAGGAACACCAGUGGCGAAGGCGACUUUCUGGUCUGUAACUGACGCUGAUGUGCGAAAGCGUGGGGAUCAAACAGGAUUAGAUACCCUGGUAGUCCACGCCGUAAACGAUGAGUGCUAAGUGUUAGGGGGUUUCCGCCCCUUAGUGCUGCAGCUAACGCAUAAGCACUCC
Molecule: ribosomal RNA, 868 nt
Filed under: Staphylococcus sp.
Lineage: Bacteria; Bacillati; Bacillota; Bacilli; Caryophanales; Staphylococcaceae
Description: bacterial SSU rRNA
Rfam family: Bacterial small subunit ribosomal RNA
Source: RNAcentral